Long non-coding RNA from Ruditapes philippinarum (Manila clam), 887 nucleotides. RefSeq lists it as uncharacterized. The transcript is spliced from 3 exons. The record is from RefSeq and is a predicted model, not a curated record. NCBI's taxonomy places the organism in Eukaryota, Metazoa, Mollusca, Bivalvia, Venerida, Veneridae.
AUAUUCUAGAUCCUGGUCCUGGUUGAAAUUAAGAGUAUUGGAGCUUUAGCCUGUAUACCAUACAUUCAACAUGAAAAGGACUGUCAGGAUGCUGCAUAAAAUGGUCUUAGCUACAGCGUAGAAUGUUGAUUUCUUUGGAAUAUGCUGCAAGGAACUGACGGGGAGCAGUUUUUCUUACCAAUCAUAGAAGCAGUAAGAGACAGCCAAAGAAGUACUCAAACAAUUGACAUACCCAGAAAGAUCUAGAAGAAAAGAUUGGAACAGAUUGUAGUUUAAAUGAUAAAACUACUAAAGUGAAUUUAAGCUGCACUUGAACUGUAUUUUUGAAAUAAAAUAUCUGAAGUAUUUAAUAUUGUCUUGAUAUUUUGUUAAACUUGGUUACUUUGCUUUAUAUCCAAAAGUUAAAGUAUGGUGGGUUUUCAACGUUGAAAUGACAUUGAAACUACAACGUUGUGCCAACGUUGAAGCUGCAACGUUGUAUCAACGUUGAAAUUUCAACGUUGUUUCAACUUUCAAAUCCGAAUAUAAAUCCAACCUUAUUUCAACGUUGAAAUCUGACCAUAAUUCAACGUUGAAACAACGUUGAUGUGCCUGCUGGGAUCCUUUACAUUGUAUUUUAGAAUGACCAAUGAGAUUCACCGACUUCAGUUUAAUGAAAUAUAUUGACAAUUAAAGAUCUUAAGCGAAAUAAGGCGCCAUGACAAGUUUUUCAUUGAGACGUCCGACAUACUAAUCGGUCAUUUCAAGGACUGUUUUAACACUAUAUUUGAUUCCGGUUAUUUUCCAAAGGUUUUGUCUUAUGGUUAUAUCGUACCAUUAUAUAAGUACAUUAAUUAGUAGUUUUGGUAAAUUAUUUACAAAGGUAUUAACAAAACUGGUUGAAAAUU